GAUGAACGCUGGCGGCGUGCCUAAUACAUGCAAGUCGAGCGAACGGACGAGAAGCUUGCUUCUCUGAUGUUAGCGGCGGACGGGUGAGUAACACGUGGAUAACCUACCUAUCAGACUGGGAUAACUUCGGGAAACCGGAGCUAAUACCGGAUAAUCUUUUGAACCGCAUGGUUCAAAAGUGAAAGACGGUCUUGCUGUCACUUAUAGAUGGAUCCGCGCUGCAUUAGCUAGUUGGUAAGGUAACGGCUUACCAAGGCAACGAUGCAUAGCCGACCUGAGAGGGUGAUCGGCCACACUGGAACGUGGACACGGUCCAGACGCCUGCGGGAGGCAGCAGUAGGGAAUCGGCCGCAAUGGGCGGAAGCCUGACGGAGCAACGCCGCGUGAGUGAUGAAGGUCUUCGGAUCGUGAAACUCUGUUAUUAGGGAAGAACAUAUGUGUAAGUAACUGUGCACAUCUUGACGGUACCUAGUCAGAAAGCCACGGCUAACUACGUG
Molecule: ribosomal RNA, 497 nt
Filed under: uncultured bacterium
Lineage: Bacteria
Description: partial 16S ribosomal RNA
Rfam family: Bacterial small subunit ribosomal RNA
Source: RNAcentral